GACGAACGCUGGCGGCGUGCUUAACACAUGCAAGUCGAACGGAAAGGCCCUGCUUUUGUGUGGUGCUAGAGUGGCGAACGGGUGAGUAACACGGGAGUAACCUGCCCUUGACUUUGGGAUAACUUCAGGAAACUGGGGCUAAUACCGGAUAGGAGCUCCUGCUGCAUGGUGGGGGUUGGAAAGUUUCGGCGGUUGGGGAUGGACUCGCGGCUUAUCAGCUUGUUGGUGGGGUAGUGGCUUACCAAGGCUUUGACGGGUAGCCGGCCUGAGAGGGUGACCGGCCACAUUGGGACUGAGAUACGGCCCAGACUGCUACGGGAGGCAGCAGUGGGGAAUAUUGCACAAUGGGCGGAAGCCUGAUGCAGCAACGCCGCGUGCGGGAUGACGGCCUUCGGGUUGUAAACCGCUUUCGCCUGUGACGAAGCGUGAGUGACGGUAAUGGGUAAAGAAGCACCGGCUAACUACGUG
RNAcentral lists this ribosomal RNA (468 nucleotides) under uncultured bacterium. Its description in RNAcentral is "partial 16S ribosomal RNA". It matches the Rfam family "Bacterial small subunit ribosomal RNA", at positions 28 to 507 of the family's 1533-position model. The record is from RNAcentral.